GUAACAGAGGGUUUGAUUAUGAGCUCAGAUUGAACACUGGCGGGAUGCUUUACACAUGCAAGUCGAACGGCUUGGCACGGACUUCGGUCUGGUGGCGAGUGGCGAACGGGUGAGUAAUGUAUCGGAACGUGCCUAGUAGCGGGGGAUAACUACGCGAAAGCGUAGCUAAUACCGCAUACGCCCUUCGGGGGAAAGCGGGGGACCUUCCGGGCCUGCUUUUAUUAGAGCAGCCGAUAUCGGAUUAGCUAGUUGGUGGGCGUAACGGCUCACCAGGCGACGUUCCAUGUGGUUUGAAGGACGACUAAACACUGGACUGAGACACGGCCCAGACUCCUACGGAAGGCAGCAGUGAGGUACGGACAAUGGGGAAACCUGAUCAGCCAUCCCGCGUAUUACGUGAGGCCUUCGGGUUUAUCAACGCUUUGGCAGGAAAGAAGCGGCUGGGAUAAUACCCCGUGCAACUGAUAACUACCUACAGAAUAAGCACCAGCUAACUACGUGCCAGCAGCCACUUGAUAUGCAUGAGUGCAAGCGUUAAUCGGAAUUACUGGGCGUAAAGCGUGCGCGAGCGGUUCGGAAAGAAGAAAUGUGAAAUCCCAGAGCUUAACUUUGGAACUGCAUUUUUGAAGGCUACCGAGCUAGAAAAUUAAUGACCAGAGGAAAUUGGAAUUCCUGUGCCGCAGUGAAAUGCGUGAUAUGCGGAGGAACACCGAUGGCGAAGGCAGCCUCCUGGGAUAACACUGACGCUCAUGCACGAAAGCGUGGGAGCAAACAGGAUUAGAUACCCUGGUAGUCCACGCCCUAAACGAUGUCCAACUAGCUGUUGGGCCUUCGGGCCUUGGUAGCGCAGCUAACGCGUGAAGUUGACCGCCUGGGAAGUACGGUCGCAAGGUUAAAACUCAAAGGAAUUGACGAGGACCCGCACAGCGGUGGAUGAUGUGGAUUAAUUCGAUGCAACGCGAAAAACCUUACCUACCCUUGACAUGUCUGGAAUCGAAGAGAUUUGGGAGUGCUCGCAAGAGAACCGGAACACAGGUGCUGCAUGGCUGUCGUCAGCUCGUGUCGUGAGAUGUUGGGUUAAGUCCCGCAACGAGCGCAACCCUUGUCAUUGAGUUGCUACGAAGAGCACUCUAAUGAGACUGCCGGUGACAAACCGGAGGAAGGUGGGGAUGACGUCAAGUCCUCAUGGCCCUUAUGGGUAGGGCUUCACACGUCAUGCAAUGGUCGGGACAGAGGGUCCCUUAGCCCGCGAGGAGCCAAUCCCAGAAACCCGAUCGUAGUCCGGAUCGCAGUCUGCAACUCGACUGCGUGAAGUCGGAAUCGCUAGUAAUCGCGGAUCAGCAUGUCGCGGUGAAUACGUUCCCGAGGUCUUGUACACACCGCCCGUCACACCAUGGGAGUGGGUUUUACCAGAAGUAGUUGCUUCUAACCGUAAGGAGGGCGAUUACACGGUAGAGGAUUCGUGACUGGGGUGAAGUCGUAACGGUAA
RNAcentral lists this ribosomal RNA (1489 nucleotides) under uncultured Bordetella sp. Its description in RNAcentral is "partial 16S-23S ribosomal RNA intergenic spacer". It matches the Rfam family "Bacterial small subunit ribosomal RNA". The record is from RNAcentral. Lineage: Bacteria; Pseudomonadati; Pseudomonadota; Betaproteobacteria; Burkholderiales; Alcaligenaceae.